GGAUUUUAUUUUUUUUUUUUGUAAAGCAGCUCUAUGACAAUGGUACCUCUGUUUCAUUCUAACAGGACGUGCCAGAAAUUCCAUUCUUCAGAUGUACAAACGAGGCUUUUCAAGAAAAACAUUUUUUCAAGUGCAAGUCAGUGUGGAUCUUCUGGAGCUCAUGGCAGCAAUAGUUGCUGGAGACAUUAUGGCUAUAGAGCGCACAGGCCAUAACAUAACAGCAGUGAGCUCUUCAUGGCCUGGGGGAGCAACUGAGGUGGUAAGUGAGAAGCUCUGCUAAGAGGGUGGGAACCGUGCAGCUGGCUCGGGGUCCUGCCACGGCAUUGGUAUCACCUGGGUGUUGCUCUGGGCUGCAUGUUGCUGUCAGCACAGCCUGCAGCAACCUUUUGCUGACCUCAGUGUGCUGAGUGGGAUGUCUGCAGGCCACACCUCAGCCCGAGUAACGCACUCCUGCUUUCAGCCACCAGAGUUUGACCCAGGUCUACAUUGCUUGUUUCAACUCCCUCUGGCUCCAGGAUUCCAAAUACAUAAUCCUGCAAGGGCUCGUUUGUUAAGGUCCUGAGAGCUCUGGUCCUUUAGUGAUUGUAGAGUAACAGAAAGUUUUGGAGAAGAGCUUCUUGCCUCAUGACAAACCAAUGUUAUCUGUGUUAACUCUGUUUCUAUGCAUUUUCAAGGAUGUCUCACGGAUUCAUUUUAUAUGCUGGGGAAUUAGUCUCAUCAUGUCAAGUUCAGGCAAUCACAGAAUCUCAUGUCUUAGUGGGAUCAAACCCUUGUUUUCUGACUUGUACUGAGGGAAAAUCAGAGCUAUAAUUUAGACCAGAGGGGAUAACAGUUGUUUUUGAGUGGUCUCUCUAUUGGUUUGAGCUCUAGAUCAGAUCCUUUUGGAUCCUACAUGUGUUGCACCUGGUGUGUAUGUAGGUGCCGGUAAGACCUUUUGAACAGAAGUGAAUUUCACCCUGGCUGAAACUAUGUGGUAUAUGUAUUCUCUGGCAAUAAAACCUGCAGUUAAUCAUUUUUUUCCUCA
Molecule: long non-coding RNA, 1024 nt
Filed under: Anser brachyrhynchus (Pink-footed goose)
Lineage: Eukaryota; Metazoa; Chordata; Aves; Anseriformes; Anatidae
Description: lncRNA (ENSABRG00000013793.1)
Source: RNAcentral